UCGCUUGCAAUAAUGUUCCUAAAACUGUUAUAAUAUAGAUGUUACCUCGUGUAACUAUGGUGAUAAACGCUAUAUGUAAUAGAUGUUAUGGACCCGGGGGCGGUACCCGGCACCUCCACCACUUAAGAAGACGGCGAUUUGGGGUUAUAGCCCUGAAAUUAAUGUCUGACCCGAAUGUUUUUUACUUUUGGGGGUGAAAUAGGAUCGACAUGCGUUGAAAGAUAUGGUUUUUGCUCGGCAUUGUACCACCGUUAUCGGACAGUAUAAAUAUAAAUGCAAAACGUAAAAACGCAUUUAAUGGUGUUCUUAUUGCCGCUAACGAUAAUUUCGUUAACGACAACCGUAUCGUAGCCGCUACUGCAGCAGCUGCCUAAGGUUAGAACAUCCUUGCGGUUCGAGGGGCACCGGGCAACAGAAGCCCCUCACU
RNAcentral lists this transfer-messenger RNA (427 nucleotides) under Alphaproteobacteria bacterium. It matches the Rfam family "Alphaproteobacteria transfer-messenger RNA". Rfam says of the family: Bacterial tmRNA, also known as 10Sa RNA or SsrA, is named for its dual tRNA and mRNA-like properties. Its role is to liberate the mRNA from a stalled ribosome. Lineage: Bacteria; Pseudomonadati; Pseudomonadota; Alphaproteobacteria. The record is from RNAcentral.